ACUGUACACGGUUAAAGCUUGGAGUUGAGGCUGAGGAACUCACAAGUGUAGGUCAUGUGCUACAUGAAGGACAAGUCUUUCAGUAACACCACAGAGGGUCUCUGGCCCCAUGAGUGGAGUUUGAUAGUAAUUCUUGCUACAAAG
This 144-nucleotide small nucleolar RNA is filed under the name Suricata suricatta (meerkat). The record is from RNAcentral. Lineage: Eukaryota; Metazoa; Chordata; Mammalia; Carnivora; Herpestidae.